Molecule: ribosomal RNA, 445 nt
Filed under: Synergistales bacterium canine oral taxon 244
Lineage: Bacteria; Thermotogati; Synergistota; Synergistia; Synergistales
Description: bacterial SSU rRNA
Rfam family: Bacterial small subunit ribosomal RNA
Source: RNAcentral
GAGUUUGAUCAUGGCUCAGGAUGAACGCUGGCGGCGUGCGUAACACAUGCAAGUUGGACGACGGUGCUAUGAAGUGGUAACACGGAAUGGUAUACGGAGUAGCGGACGGGUGAGUAAAGCAUGAGGAGCUGUCCUGUUGAGGGGGAUAACGUUCGGAAACGGACCCUAAUACCCCAUAGGCCGAGAGGUUAAAGGCAGAGAUGCGCGACAGGAGGUACUCGUGUCCUAUCAGCUGGUUGGUGAGGUAACGGCUCACCAAGGCGACGACGGGUAGCCGGCCUGAGAGGGUGACCGGCCACACUGGAACUGAGACACGGUCCAGACUCCUACGGGAGGCAGCAGUGGGGAAUAUUGGGCAAUGGGAGGAAUCCUGACCCAGCGACGCCGCGUGAACGAAGACGGCCUUCGGGUUGUAAAGUUCUUUUAUGUGGGAAGAAGGAAGUGA